This 355-nucleotide ribosomal RNA is filed under the name Macroxyela ferruginea. Its description in RNAcentral is "partial 16S ribosomal RNA". Lineage: Eukaryota; Metazoa; Arthropoda; Insecta; Hymenoptera; Xyelidae. The record is from RNAcentral.
AUAAUCAUUAGUCUUUUAAUUAAGGGCUAGAAUGAACGAUUGGACGAAGUAUUAACUGUCUCAUUUUAAUUAUUAUUAGAAUUUAAUUUUUGAGUUAAAAAGCUUAAAUUUAAUUAAAGGACGAGAAGACCCUAUAGAGCUUUAUAAAAAUUUAUUUAUAAAAUUUAUAUUAGAUUUAUUUUACAAUUAUAAAUAAUUUUAUUUUAUUGGGGUGAUAAGAAGAUUAAAAUAACUCUUUUUAGAUUUUACAUUAAUGUAUGAAUUUUUGAUCCUGUAUUAUAGAUUAUAAGACUAAGUUACCUUAGGGAUAACAGCGUAAUUUUUUUUGAGAGUUCUUAUCGACAAAAUAGAUUGC